RNAcentral lists this ribosomal RNA (496 nucleotides) under uncultured bacterium. RNAcentral describes it as "bacterial SSU rRNA". It matches the Rfam family "Bacterial small subunit ribosomal RNA", at positions 28 to 507 of the family's 1533-position model. The record is from RNAcentral.
GAUGAACGCUAGCGGCAGGCUUAAUACAUGCAAGUUGAGGGGCAGCAUGAUAUACGCGAGUAUAUUGAUGGCGACCGGCGGACGGGUGAGUAAUAGGUAGGAGACCUACCUCAUACAGGGGGAUAGCAUAGAGAAAUCUGUGGUAAUACCCCAUGAGGUUAUAUGAAUAGAGGCAUAUAAUCAAAGCAUAAGUGAUUAUGCGGUAUGAGAGGGGCCUACUGACCAUUAGCUAGUUGGUGAGGUAAGGGCUCACCAAGGCGAAGAUGGUUAGGGGUUUUGAGAGAGAGACCCCCCACAUUGGAACUGAGAGACGGUCCAGACUCCUACGGGAGGCAGCAGUAGGGAAUAUUGGGCAAUGGGGCGAAAGCCUGACCCAGCCAUGCCGCGUGAAGGAAGACGGCCUUAUGGGUUGUAAACUUCUUUACUACGCGAAUAGAGGUUAGUACGAGACACUAAUAGGAAGGUAGUGUAGUAAAAAGCACCGGCUAACUCCGUG